RNAcentral lists this ribosomal RNA (464 nucleotides) under Vreelandella stevensii. RNAcentral's name for it is "partial 16S ribosomal RNA". It matches the Rfam family "Bacterial small subunit ribosomal RNA", at positions 338 to 794 of the family's 1533-position model. Lineage: Bacteria; Pseudomonadati; Pseudomonadota; Gammaproteobacteria; Oceanospirillales; Halomonadaceae. The record is from RNAcentral.
CCUACGGGGGGCUGCAGUGGGGAAUAUUGGACAAUGGGCGAAAGCCUGAUCCAGCCAUGCCGCGUGUGUGAAGAAGGCCUUCGGGUUGUAAAGCACUUUCAGUGGGGAAGAAAGCCUUGGGGCUAAUACCCUCGAGGAAGGACAUCACCCACAGAAGAAGCACCGGCUAACUCCGUGCCAGCAGCCGCGGUAAUACGGAGGGUGCGAGCGUUAAUCGGAAUUACUGGGCGUAAAGCGCGCGUAGGCGGUCUGAUAAGCCGGUUGUGAAAGCCCCGGGCUCAACCUGGGAACGGCAUCCGGAACUGUCAGGCUAGAGUGCAGGAGAGGAAGGUAGAAUUCCCGGUGUAGCGGUGAAAUGCGUAGAGAUCGGGAGGAAUACCAGUGGCGAAGGCGGCCUUCUGGACUGACACUGACGCUGAGGUGCGAAAGCGUGGGUAGCAAACAGGAUUAGAUACCCCGGUAGU